AAACACAAAUUUCGAUACCACACCCACGCCUCCACCAUAAAAAAAAAAAAAAAAAAAAAAAAAAUUGUGGAUCAUCAAUCACCGCCGACGUCCCCGCCACGUCUCGUCAAAAAUUGACAACUGUGGCCUGGUCGGAGAAAUGAUGGAAAACGAGUUCUCGAAUCGACUCUAAAUUGAUCAUUCUGCGAAUGAAACGUAACAAAUCGAGCGAAAUAAUAUCAAUUAACAGACUCUCCCCAGCAUGGCCGACGUGUGGUAAAAUAAUCGAAGCUGGCCGCAGACCGGCUCGGUUCUAUAGGCCCUGGUCUUCCUUUCCAUCCGAAGGUGAUUGGGUUUUCUAAACAAAAUGGCGCGGUGGCGGGUCCAGUCCGCCCUUUUCUCCAUCCCUGGGUAGAUCUGUAUAAUUUGAUGGAACGUCGGACGUGUCCGUCGAUAAGAUGGCCGUCGCCAUCUCGACCGGGAGGAAAGUUAAAAAGAAAAAAAAGAGUCGUCUGGUCUGGAUAAUCUGGUUUUGCGUCACGGAAACCGGAAAAGACUAAAGUAUUAAUAAAAAAUGUUAAUAGACGUUUUCUUUGUCGCGGCGGUUCUCUUCUUUCCGCCGCAUUCCUGGGUAAACAACUGUCGGUGGAACUAAAUAGCAGAAAAAAGGCUACCAGUUAAUCGGAGGCCAGACGGAAAAACUGUUUUUUAAUUCCAAAUAAUCCACUUUUUCCCUUCCGUCCGGCGCCAUUAAAUUAACUCGAUAAAUUUACCUAAUGCCAAAUGCUUUUAAGAAUAAAAUCGAUAAUAAGCCAAAAAGACGCACAUUUUGCGUGUGAACUAGUCGUUAAGGCCGACAAAUGACCAAAAUCAGAUAUCACCUGUUUGUUUUCCCAUCGUUUUUUGGCCCGCCGUCUUUACUGUAUAGCGUUAUCGUCAUAGCGCUUUUUUUUUAUAGUCUCGGUCUUAACUCGAGACGUUUCUGUAACUUUUUUUUGGCAGCGUACCACCGGCAUUUACGCGUUUUGCCGCGGUUAAUAACGGCGGGAGCCCGUUGGGUCCGGAUUUCCACCACCAAAUACGCUUCUGCCUUAAUGGAUAACGUCCGGCAUGGCUAAUCAUUAACAAAUUUUAGCAUAGUAAACCGGAUAGAUGGCAGAAAAACGCCAAUAAUACCCGUCCGAUCCGAGUACCCUACCCAUAAGCGGCUUAGGUCGUUAAGAUGGUUUUAAAAGGGGGCCUAUCCCCGUCGAUAACUGUGUCGGAAUUCUUUUUCUUUUAGACCGUGGGCCGGGUGACGGUCACGGCCACCAGCGUGUGUUCAAUCCGGUCGAAACGAAUUCGGGGCCUCCGAAUGGGUGGACCAAACUUACAUUGGAAGUAGGCCACUUACCGCCUUAAUUACAUUAGUGUGUGUUUUGAUAAUUUUCCGAAUGACAGACUACCUUGAAUCGAUGAGUUAUGUAUUUUAUUAAGCGGAGGGGAAGGACAAAAGUUGCCCUUGUUGUAGAAUUUUAUUGGUGUAACUUGUUUUUCUUCUUUUGUACGAAGCGGCGUCGAACAAAAGUAGUACCACGUACUAGAGUAAGUCACAGGACAACGAGAUAGCGGCGGCAAUCUGUUAAACGCCGUUUUAUCUCCCAAAAUUACUUUAUGACAAAACUGUCGAUAGAAAAAAAAAUAUUCCAAGCGACUCGGAAUGUUUUACGGUCGAAUAAUAAUAAUAAUUAGAUGGAGUGGGACGGAUUAUCGACCGUAACCAGGUAUUGUCUGUUUGUUUUCAGGUGGACAAUCCCGCUUACUUCGACAGCGAGUGCCAGAGUGCAGAUCGAGAAUCGGCUGUAGCCACGGUGGUGACCACGCCGGCCAAACUCAAGAAACAGCCAUGGUUGAGAUUGUGGAAGUUGAGCUUCAUCAAGAGCGAGAAAGUUCGCCAACGUCGGACGUUGGCUCUGAUGGUGAUAUUUAUCGUCAUUCUGAUCGUGCUGGUGGUAGCGGUGGGUCUGGCCAUUUAUUUAUCAGUGAGAGACAUGGGAUGGAGUUGGCCUACGCCGGAAGAGACCACCACCGACAGCCAAGAAAACUGGGCCGUGGCGGGAAAGUUCAGGAUAACUAACAGGGUGUACACGGCAGAAUUAGAAAAUCCUACCAGUCCGCCAUACAUUCGUCUAGUGGCCGAAAUUCUACAGUCGCUGGAUGACAUGUUCUUGCAAAGUCCUUUAGUCAGG
RNAcentral lists this long non-coding RNA (2207 nucleotides) under Androctonus crassicauda. Lineage: Eukaryota; Metazoa; Arthropoda; Arachnida; Scorpiones; Buthidae. The record is from RNAcentral.